CGAACGCUUUUUCUUUCACCGGAGCUUGCUCCACCGAAAGAAAAAGAGUGGCGAACGGGUGAGUAACACGUGGGUAACCUGCCCAUCAGAAGGGGAUAACACUUGGAAACAGGUGCUAAUACCGUAUAACACUAUUUUCCGCAUGGAAGAAAGUUGAAAGGCGCUUUUGCGUCACUGAUGGAUGGACCCGCGGUGCAUUAGCUAGUUGGUGAGGUAACGGCUCACCAAGGCAACGAUGCAUAGCCGACCUGAGAGGGUGAUCGGCCACACUGGGACUGAGACACGGCCCAGACUCCUACGGGAGGCAGCAGUAGGGAAUCUUCGGCAAUGGACGAAAGUCUGACCGAGCAACGCCGCGUGAGUGAAGAAGGUUUUCGGAUCGUAAAACUCUGUUGUUAGAGAAGAACAAGGAUGAGAGUAAAAUGUUCAUCCCUUGACGGUAUCUAACCAGAAAGCCACGGCUAACUACGUGCCAGCAGCCGCGGUAAUACGUAGGUGGCAAGCGUUGUCCGGGAUUUAUUGGGCGUAAAGCGAGCGCAGGCGGUUUUUUAAGUCUGAUGUGAAAGCCCCCGGCUCAACCGGGGAGGGUCAUUGGAAACUGGGAGACUUGAGUGCAGAAGAGGAGAGUGGAAUUCCAUGUGUAGCGGUGAAAUGCGUAGAUAUAUGGAGGAACACCAGUGGCGAAGGCGGCUCUCUGGUCUGUAACUGACGCUGAGGCUCGAAAGCGUGGGGAGCGAACAGGAUUAGAUACCCUGGUAGUCCACGCCGUAAACGAUGAGUGCUAAGUGUUGGAGGGUUCCGCCCUUCAGUGCUGCAGCAAACGCAUAAGCACU
This 833-nucleotide ribosomal RNA is filed under the name Enterococcus casseliflavus. Its description in RNAcentral is "bacterial SSU rRNA". It matches the Rfam family "Bacterial small subunit ribosomal RNA", at positions 63 to 868 of the family's 1533-position model. The record is from RNAcentral. Lineage: Bacteria; Bacillati; Bacillota; Bacilli; Lactobacillales; Enterococcaceae.